UUUGUCUGUUUGUUCAUGUGAAUUGGCAUGUGUUUUGUUUUAAAUGUGAUGUGGAGGAAUGAGAACGUUCUCAGGGUCGGUGUGAUCGGACGCGAUGUCAGUCGGUCCGUUUGCUAUUGAAGACUUCCUAUCUCGUGUAAUGUGAUGAACGGUGAGCCAUUCAUUAUGAUCUCCGAGUGGCCCACUGGCUCUCUAACCCAAUCACAAGCUAGAAGCCCAGCUGUGAAAACCAGAGGAUCAGCCCACUACACAACAGAUAAGUGAGCAGUGUCGUUGGGCUCUAACGGUACACGCAGAAAGUAUGAGAACUUACGGAGAGAAUGCUCAUUGGAGAGAAUGAGCAUUCUUUAUGUCCAUGUGAUUUGCGCGCUGGGAAGAAGUGAACCUUCCUUGGUUCUCUAGGGAAGACACUAUACCGCUGGAACACGGAGAACUGCUACGAAAGGUUGGCGACCUCAUAUGGAGUUCACGUCAGUAGCUUCUGAGCAGAUGCCACUUGUUGACACAGUUCAAGGCAGCCUAUGUGAUUUAGUUUAGGACACUGUAUGAUAUUGGCUGAAAUCUAGGCAAACACUACAAGAACACAAACACCAUAUUGUUUUAUUGUCUAGGAGUUAAACCAGAGAGAUAGAGGAGUCCAGAGUGGUGUGAAAGUGAUUUAGCGAUGUGUUGCUGGCUGUGUUACAUGCCCGUCCCCGGGAGCUGUGUCUGUUCUGGUGAGUCUUGGCUAUGAGUGGGCUUAGCUAAUACAGCAAUGGGGUCCUUUCUGCAAACACAACGUCUGGCCGAGAGGAAGAGCGACGGGACAACGUAUUAUCUGUUCAUCUGGUUAAGAAAGACACCACUUCGCAGAUCAAGAUCAACACAAGUGAUGCUUUGAACGUCGACGAUCAAAAUGUUUUUUCGCUGACGGCUGAAUGGAUGGAUGCCGAUAUAUUUUCAAAUGAUUGGACUGUUGUUGAGAAUCAGUUGGAAAGCCAAGCCUAUACGGCAAAAAAAAAUAAUGAAUAAAAUAGCUUUUUUUUGUUACAUCUCAGCUCUUGACCACAAAACGUCAUGUGGAUAGGAAGAGAGGCCUCUUCAAACUCCUCGCCACGCUGAUGUGAAACUACAUUGUGUUUGGCCCUUCAGUCAGAGUGUCUGAAAUAGAGGCGUUUCACAACCUAAAUUGUGGUAAUUGAGUGCUCCAGACAAUAGUCUUAAUUAUGCUUGAGAGGAAUAACACCCUGCAGUCGAUUGGCAUGCAAAUGAGCCGGGGAGAAAAGGAAGCAAGGAAGGGAAGGGGGAAAUCGUACUCUGUCACCUGGAGGGAUGGAUGAUGGACGUGGAUUUAAUGUGGAAGUGAAUGAAGUGCUCUGUCAUUUCCCUGCGUUUUUCUCUGCAGAAGCAAUAGAAUGUUCAACACGCAGAGAGCGAUAACAAAAGAACACUCAAUGCUAAUGUGACUCUAUCAGCGUUUGUUAUUGUGGCAUAUCGUGUUGUGGAUUUGAGCUGCAUUUUGAGCUUUGAUUGUGUGUGUGUGUGUGUUUGUGUUUGUAUCUGUGUGUGCUCGCCCACACGUGUUUGUUCUGAAAUGCAGUGUGCAUGUAUGUGUGCUUGAGUAACUUUGCUUGUGGUGUGUGUGUGUGUAGAGCACUACUCCGCCCUGUGACCUGCUAUUCCACAGUCCGUCUCCAGCUCCCACCGUCUCAGCAGAGUAACACUGGAACAAUGAGAGGGAACUUGGCUUGGGUUCACAUCAGAGAUGUGAAAUCACAGCCGGACCAGGCCAGAGGAGCACAUAACACAUGAUCACUCUGGGUCAAAUGUUUCGCUGGUAGCAGCUAGCUGCCAAUAGCUUGCGAAGAAACUGGACUACUUAAGAACCGAAUUUAUUCAGAAGUGGAAUUUUUAUUUUUUACGGACAGCUGGAACUACAGAAUACAGUGGAAAUUGUGUCAUUUCUCUGCUGCUUGAUUACUCCACUCAUUUGAGAGACAGACACUCGCAUGUCAGAAAGAGAGAGCGAGAGAAAGAGGGGGAGAGAGAGAGAGAGAGAGAGAGAGAGAGACUGAGUCCGUCGAGAGAUUUGUUGUUCUGCUGAAUUCCUGGCAGUCCCCCGGCUUUGAGGCAGCCAUGCCAUUACACACGACUGGCUUCAGAGGUUUGGGCUGCUAGCCUGCUAGCCUGGAAUGUGCCAAUCAAACUCCCUCUAUACACUGAAUCUGAAGCUAAAUGUAUAGCUGUCCCGUUUUAUGAUGCACUGUUAGAAAAAAGGGUUAUUAAAGGGUUAUUUGGCUGUCCCCAUAGGAGAACCCUUUUUGGUUCCAGGUAGAACCCUUUUUGGUUCCAGGUAUAACCCUUUUUGGUUCCAGGUAUAACCCUUUUUGGUUCCAGGUAUAACCCUUUUUGGUUCCAGGUAGAACCAUUUUGGGUUCCAGGUAUAACCCUUUUUGGUUCCAGGUAUAACCCUUUUUGGUUCCAGGUAUAACCCUUUUUGGUUCCAGGUAUAACCCUUUUUGGUUCCAGGUAUAACCCUUUUUGGUUCCAGGUAUAACCCUUUUUGGUUCCAGGUAUAACCCUUUUUGGUUCCAGGUAGAACCAUUUUGGGUUUCAUGUAGAACCCGCUGUGGAAAGAGUUCUACUGGAACCUAAAACUGUUCUACUUGGAACCAAAAGGGUUCUACCGGGGACCAAAAAGGGUUCUUCAAAGGGUUCUCCUAUGGGCACAGAAAAAGAACCGUUUUACUUUCUAGAUGACAACUUUUUUCUAUGUAUGUGAGAGAAAAAAAACGCAUAUAAAUGUAAUACUACGUUUUA
This is a long non-coding RNA of Salvelinus fontinalis (brook trout), 2799 nucleotides long. RefSeq lists it as uncharacterized. Lineage: Eukaryota; Metazoa; Chordata; Actinopteri; Salmoniformes; Salmonidae. The transcript is spliced from 2 exons. The record is from RefSeq and is a predicted model, not a curated record.